Long non-coding RNA from Micropterus salmoides (largemouth bass), 573 nucleotides. RefSeq lists it as uncharacterized. The transcript is spliced from 3 exons. Lineage: Eukaryota; Metazoa; Chordata; Actinopteri; Centrarchiformes; Centrarchidae. The record is from RefSeq and is a predicted model, not a curated record.
ACCUACUACCUGCUUCACCACACGAACCAUGACAUCGCUCUACAGUCUCCAUCAUCCAAACCUUUUGCAGGGAAAACAGGAUUGGAAACUUCUCAGUGAACAACAAGAACAGGAGAUCUGUAAUGCCAUCACCUUGAGACAGAUUCGCACUGCAAUCCUACAAGACAAUGCCAUAUUCCAAAAUGUCAACUCUAUAAGCAUCUCCACAAUAGACCGGAUAUUGAAGAAUCAGAUGACAAUGAAGCAAACUUACAGGGUACUAUUUAAGAGGAACUCUGAGAGUGAAAGAGCUGUGGUACCAGUAUGUACAUAGAAGAAUGGCAUUUUAAGGAAAUGAGACCCAUCACAUCCUCGUGUUUGUGGAUGAAGCUGGCUUCAACCUGGCCAAGGGCCAAAGACGUGGCCGUAAUAUUAUUGGCCACAGUGGAUGUCCCAGGGCAGCGAGGGGGCAAUAUAACUGUGUGCUGCCAUAUCUGAGAAUGGUGUGGCCACUCACAUCCCCAGUCUUGGCCCAUACAAUACAUAGAAGCUCCUCAUCUUCUUGGACCGCCUUCAUUUGGAUUUGAUCCCUGA